Molecule: ribosomal RNA, 253 nt
Filed under: uncultured bacterium
Lineage: Bacteria
Description: partial 16S ribosomal RNA
Rfam family: Bacterial small subunit ribosomal RNA
Source: RNAcentral
UACGGAGGGUGCAAGCGUUAUCCGGAUUUACUGGGUUUAAAGGGUGCGUGGGCGGGCCAUUAAGUCAGUGGUGAAAGCUCCGAGCUUAACUCGGAAACUGCCAUUGAUACUAUUGGUCUUGAAUUCGGUCGAGGUUGGCGGAAUGUGUCGUGUAGCGGUGAAAUGCUUAGAUAUGACACAGAACACCGAUUGCGAAGGCAGCUAGCUAGACCGACAUUGACGCUGAGGCACGAAAGCGUGGGGAUCAAACAGG